UCCUGGUGAAUCGACUAAUACUGGAUGCAGGUCUCACAGCUGAACUGGUUAAACUUUGGAACGAGCAGACAGUGGAAGGAAUAGUGGCCAGAUUUGUAGCCACGGAUGGAGGAAUAACAAGAGUCUACCCGAGAAGUGCUGAGGAAGAGUGGACUGAGAAUCCUGAGACAUAUGAGUCCAGCUUCUACAAAAGGACCCUGGACAAUAAA
Non-coding RNA from Gasterosteus aculeatus aculeatus (three-spined stickleback), 209 nucleotides. The record is from RefSeq and is a predicted model, not a curated record. Lineage: Eukaryota; Metazoa; Chordata; Actinopteri; Perciformes; Gasterosteidae.